GCCUGGCUGGCUCAGUUAGAACAGCAUGUGACUCUCAAUCUUGGGUUUGUGAGUUCGAACCCCACGUUGGGUG
This 73-nucleotide transfer RNA is filed under the name Ailuropoda melanoleuca (giant panda). It matches the Rfam family "tRNA". Rfam says of the family: Transfer RNA (tRNA) molecules are approximately 80 nucleotides in length. Their secondary structure includes four short double-helical elements and three loops (D, anti-codon, and T loops). The record is from Rfam by way of RNAcentral. Lineage: Eukaryota; Metazoa; Chordata; Mammalia; Carnivora; Ursidae.